Molecule: non-coding RNA, 228 nt
Organism: Chelonoidis abingdonii (Abingdon island giant tortoise)
Lineage: Eukaryota; Metazoa; Chordata; Testudines; Testudinidae
Source: RefSeq, a predicted model, not a curated record
UGGGCGCUGUACAGAGGAGCAGGCGGCCACGUCUAGGAAGCUCCUGGGGACGAGGGGGAGAGAACUUAACUUGUGUCAGUGUCGCGUGGUGUUGAGACUCGUGCAAAAGGUUCUGUUAUCUACCUGGAACACAUUGAAGGAGGAGAACAAAUGGAACUACAGGGCUCUGUGAACAUCUAGAGAAACAAUAUAGAUGCAACCUUGAGAUCCGAGCUGUCCUUGUUAUCG